AGUUAAUUAGCUUAUAAUUAAAGCAUUUAUUUUGAAAGUAAAGAAAAGAAAAUAAUAAUCUAUUAACUU
This 69-nucleotide transfer RNA is filed under the name Tryella crassa. Its description in RNAcentral is "tRNA-Ser". The record is from RNAcentral. Lineage: Eukaryota; Metazoa; Arthropoda; Insecta; Hemiptera; Cicadidae.